This 659-nucleotide ribosomal RNA is filed under the name Neobacillus pocheonensis. RNAcentral describes it as "bacterial SSU rRNA". It matches the Rfam family "Bacterial small subunit ribosomal RNA", at positions 97 to 743 of the family's 1533-position model. The record is from RNAcentral. Lineage: Bacteria; Bacillati; Bacillota; Bacilli; Caryophanales; Bacillaceae.
GGCAGACGGGUGAGUAACACGUGGACUACCUGCCUGUAAAACUGGGAUAACUACGGGAAACCGGGGCUAAUACCGUACUAUAUCUAUUUAUACAUUUUAUUACAUUGAAAGAUGGAUCUGCUAUCACUUACAGAUGGGCCCGCGGCGCAUUACCUAGUUGGUGAGGUAACGGCUCACCGAGGCGACGAUGCGUAGCCGACCUGAUAGGGUGAUCGGCCACACUGGGACUGACACACGGCCCAGACUCCUACGGGAGGCAGCCAUAGGGAAUCUUCCGCGAUGGACGAAAGUCUGACGGAGCAACGCCGCGUGAGUGAUGAAGGUUUUCGGAUCGUGAAACUCUGUUGUUAAUGAAGAAGAUACACCGGGAUAACUGCCGGUAUCCUGACGGUUCUAACCCAUAAAGUCACGGUAAACUACGUGCCAGCAAUCGCGUUAAUACGUAUAGUGGAAGCGUUGUCCGGAUUUAUUGGGCGUAAUCUGCGAGGCGGCGGUUCUUUAAGUCUGAUUUGAAACCCGUCACCUCAACCGUGGGAGGUAUUUGGAAACUGGGAAUCUUGAGCGCAGAAGAGGAAAUUGGAAUUCCAAGUGUAGCGGUGAAAUGCGUAGAGAUUUGGAGGAACACCAGUGGCGAAGGCGACUUUUUGGUCUGUAACUGA